RNAcentral lists this ribosomal RNA (250 nucleotides) under uncultured Pseudomonas sp. Its description in RNAcentral is "partial 16S ribosomal RNA". It matches the Rfam family "Bacterial small subunit ribosomal RNA", at positions 103 to 355 of the family's 1533-position model. The record is from RNAcentral. Lineage: Bacteria; Pseudomonadati; Pseudomonadota; Gammaproteobacteria; Pseudomonadales; Pseudomonadaceae.
CGGGUGAGUAAUGCCUAGGAAUCUGCCUGGUAGUGGGGGACAACGUUUCGAAAGGAACGCUAAUACCGCAUACGUCCUACGGGAGAAAGCAGGGGACCUUCGGGCCUUGCGCUAUCAGAUGAGCCUAGGUCGGAUUAGCUAGUUGGUGAGGUAAUGGCUCACCAAGGCGACGAUCCGUAACUGGUCUGAGAGGAUGAUCAGUCACACUGGAACUGAGACACGGUCCAGACUCCUACGGGAGGCAGCAGCA